RNAcentral lists this ribosomal RNA (426 nucleotides) under uncultured bacterium. Its description in RNAcentral is "bacterial SSU rRNA". It matches the Rfam family "Bacterial small subunit ribosomal RNA", at positions 354 to 796 of the family's 1533-position model. The record is from RNAcentral.
GUGAGGAAUUUUCCGCAAUGGGGGCAACCCUGACGGAGCAACGCCGCGUGCAGGAGGACGCUUUUCGGAGUGUAAACUGCUUUUCUGUGGGACGAGCGUGGACGGUACCACAGGAAGAAGCCCCGGCUAACUACGUGCCAGCAGCCGCGGUAAUACGUAGGGGGCGAGCGUUGUCCGGAGUUACUGGGCGUAAAGGGCAUGCAGGCGGUCCGACGCGUUUUGGGUGACAGCGGGUGGCUUAACUACCCGAGCAUGCGAAAGACGGUUGGACUUGAGGGCUCGAGAGGGACACGGAAUUCCGGGUGGAGUGGUGAAAUGCGUAGAGAUCCGGAGGAACACCGAAGGCGAAGGCAGUGUCCUGGCGAGUGACUGACGCUGAGGUGCGAAAGCCAGGGGAGCGAACGGGAUUAGAAACCCCUGUAGUCC